GCCCCAUGUCGCACGUGCCUGUGGGCGUCCCACGGUCCUCAGAUGCGAGGGUAGCCGUGACGGUACCUGGACGUAACACACCCAGUCGAUUUCGCGAGCCGCGCGAUAUCGAGGACGCCUUGAAGCAACGACGGUCCGGGCCUUU
This 145-nucleotide small RNA is filed under the name Aurantimonas sp. 22II-16-19i. RNAcentral describes it as "Alphaproteobacterial sRNA ar45". It matches the Rfam family "Alphaproteobacterial sRNA ar45". The record is from Rfam by way of RNAcentral. Lineage: Bacteria; Pseudomonadati; Pseudomonadota; Alphaproteobacteria; Hyphomicrobiales; Aurantimonadaceae. RNAcentral also lists the same sequence under 2 other names.